Molecule: ribosomal RNA, 497 nt
Filed under: uncultured bacterium
Lineage: Bacteria
Description: partial 16S ribosomal RNA
Rfam family: Bacterial small subunit ribosomal RNA
Source: RNAcentral
GAUGAACGCUGGCGGCGUGCCUAAUACAUGCAAGUCGAGCGAACAGACGAGGAGCUUGCUCCUCUGACGUUAGCGGCGGACGGGUGAGUAACACGUGGAUAACCUACCUAUAAGACUGGGAUAACUUCGGGAAACCGGAGCUACUACCGGAUAAUAUAUUGAACCGCAUGGUUCAAUAGUGAAAGACGGUUUUGCUGUCACUUAUAGAUGGAUCCGCGCCGCAUUAGCUAGUUGGUAAGGUAACGGCUUACCAAGGCAACGAUGCGUAACCGACCUGAGAGGGUGAUCGGCCACACUGGAACUGAGACACGGUACAGACUCCGACGGGAGGCAGCAGUAGGGAAUCUUCCGCAAUGGGCGAAAGCCGGACGGAGCAACGCCGCGUGAGUGAUGAAGGUCUUCGGAUCGUAAAACUCUGUUAUUAGGGAAGAACAAAUGUGUAAGUAACUAGGCACGUCUUGACGGUACCUAAUCAGAAAGCCACGGCUAACUACGUG